Molecule: ribosomal RNA, 253 nt
Filed under: uncultured bacterium
Lineage: Bacteria
Description: partial 16S ribosomal RNA
Rfam family: Bacterial small subunit ribosomal RNA
Source: RNAcentral
UACGGGGGGGGCAAGCGUUGUUCGGAAUUACUGGGCGUAAAGGGCUCGUAGGCGGCCAACUAAGUCAGACGUGAAAUCCCUCGGCUUAACCGGGGAACUGCGUCUGAUACUGGAUGGGUUGAGUUUGGGAGAGGGAUGCGGAAUUCCAGGUGUAGCGGUGAAAUGCGUAGAUAUCUGGAGGAACACCGGUGGCGAAGGCGGCAUCCUGGACCAACACUGACGCUGAGGAGCGAAAGCCAGGGGAGCAAACGGG